RNAcentral lists this ribosomal RNA (254 nucleotides) under uncultured bacterium. RNAcentral's name for it is "partial 16S ribosomal RNA". It matches the Rfam family "Bacterial small subunit ribosomal RNA", at positions 524 to 776 of the family's 1533-position model. The record is from RNAcentral.
UACGUAGGUGGCAAGCGUUGUCCGGAAUUAUUGGGCGUAAAGAGCUCGUAGGCGGUUCGGCAAGUCGGAUGUGAAAUCUCCACGCUUAACGUGGAGGGGCCAUUCGAAACUGCUGUGACUCGAGUCCGGUAGGGGAGUGUGGAAUUCCCGGUGUAGCGGUGAAAUGCGCAGAUAUCGGGAGGAACACCAGUAGCGAAGGCGGCACUCUGGGCCGGUACUGACGCUGAGGAGCGAAAGCGUGGGGAGCGAACAGG